This is a long non-coding RNA of Carassius gibelio (silver crucian carp), 844 nucleotides long. RefSeq lists it as uncharacterized. The record is from RefSeq and is a predicted model, not a curated record. The transcript has 3 exons. NCBI's taxonomy places the organism in Eukaryota, Metazoa, Chordata, Actinopteri, Cypriniformes, Cyprinidae.
UGUUGGGCUUCCUUUUCAGUGGUAAUUUCUAGAAGUGUGUGUCUACUCUUCAUGGAGGACACAGGCUUCUGCAUGGAGUUUUAAAAUGUGUUGUGAUCACCUCAUUGUGACCUGAGCUGCUGGGCUGCAUCGCAACGGAAUGUUCACCUUUGUCUUCAUAUGUCAAUGAGCUGUGGGACAGUUGAGCAUACUGAAAAGUAGGCCUAUAUUUUUUAGCCAUGUUUGAGUUGACUAUGAUAUGCUGUUUAAUGAGGCUGGCAACUAACAUGAUUGUUUAUUUCCCAAAAGGGACCAGGCCAGCCACUGUUUUCUUGUGAUUAAUGUGCAUUUUUUUUAUUGUUUUGUUGGUUUGUUUGUGUGAUGUGAUUUUGCUUCUGGGCCUACCACCCAUGUGCCCUACUUGUAGUAGCAUUGUUCCUUAAACUGGUGUUAUCCGUGCUGGGGGUUCUCCUCCCUAACUAUGUCUUCUGCUUAGGCUAUCCCUGUACAAGGCCGGAUCCACACUGAUGCUUUGCCCCUUCUUGCCAAGGGACCACAUUGUUAGAGACAUUGGUUUGGGGUGUCUUUAUAACCAUAACACGGUGUGAGAUUUUUUUGUCAUGGUAUCUGAAGAUCUUGAAUGAGUGGUGCUUGCUGUGUUGCAUGCUUCUUCUGGUGCUGGGUUGCUGUCUCCUGUUUCUUUUUGUCUCACCAGGGUCCACCUGAGCAGGGGUUUCGCAUUGGCUGAUCCGACCUUCCUAGACUGAGGAGAAUCCACCAAUUGUAUAGCAGUAUUUAAGAGCCAUUUUAAUAACUUUUCCACACUUUUUGUACUAAAUUGUAAUAAAUUUGAAAUACAUUUAUA